CUACGGCAGACCUUACGAUCUCCCGCGCUCCACCAAAUCCUUUAAUCAUAAUCCACUCAAAUUUUUAACAUCAACGUCAGGAUAACUUAGGAAAACUCCUAAAGUAAAGAUUCAUACAUCGACAGGUUUCGGUGACAAUUCGACUUUGUCCCAAAAUCUGGCCGUAGCCAACAUCCCGGAGGCGUCUUCCAACACGACAAAAAUCGAAUAAAAGCAUCGCUUAGCCCAGACUGACACCAUUCACCGCUCCCAAGCAAAUAGUCUAGUACUAUUCAUACCCGGUUACCAAAUGGCGGAUUAUUAUAGAAAAAAAAAAUAAUAAUGAAAAUCCUGUCUUUUCACAUCGGAUGCUUUUCUGGGCAAAUAUAACAGUUCUACCUUCUGAAGCUCCCAAGGUAUUCCCUGGAAAUAUAGUUCAAGAUACUCGCUGCAUUCUCAUCUGUAGAUGAAUCUAUGGAGCCACAAGCAAGCAAAAAAAGAAAAAAAGAAAAAAAAAAAGUAUGAAUUUACAAGAAUUUCUCCCGAAUUAUAAAUGACGUUUUCUAAUAACCGCCAAAAAUUAUACGGUUGUGAUCACCUUCCAAUCUCACAAUUUUCCAGUGAAAUUUUUGGCACUGGUCAACAGAAUGACGAAGCAGUUCAACCGACACAGACUUACAAUAAGCCAUCAAUGAACAGCGUGAAUGUAUUAUUCUCAACGGUGGCCGUAAAAUGCUUUCGUUAGAACGCGCACAUGCAAGCAUUUGGUGCUCCUGAAUGAAAACCAAGACCGGAACUGAGGGGAUUUCGUCGGAUUCUUCGCGUGAGGAGACCCCCAAACUACCUAAGGAUAAGUGGGAAUGAACGGGCAGUAUCUUGGAUUGUCUAUAAGUCGUCAGUCUGUGAAUUCGUGAGCUUGACGUUCUGUUAUUGAAGAGGGUCGUCUUUGUUACCCUAUUCUUUUGGGCUAGAUGUCACUGGGACAAACGGACAGAUGCCCUUAUCUAGCCCAGCCCUGAAAACAAGUAGAUGAAUAGGGAGGGAGAAAAGAUUUUGGUUCCACCCAGAUGAAGGGUGCAAAAAAAAAAAAAAAAAAAACAAAAAAAAAAAAAAAAAAAAAAAAAAAAUUUAGAAAUAUAAGAUGGAAUCCAUGGGUGCCAAUUAGCCAGGCAGCCCAUACUUCUUUCUAACCCAGAUCCGAAUAAUACAGAAUGAAAAAUGAGAGUGGCAAGCAGUUGAAAUAAAUCAUGUAGUAUGUUGAAAUAAAUCAUGUAGUAUGAUAAAGUGAAAACCUGUUGGAUUAAACCCUAUAAAAAUGAUAAGGUGAAAAAUCUGGAUUAAAGCCCGUAAAAUGAUAAAAGUGAAAAACAGCUGGAUUAAAGCCUUAAAAUGAUAAAGUGAAAAACAUUUGGAUGAAACCCUAUAUAAUUACAUAGUGAACAACAGUUGGAUUAAAGCCUUAAAAUAAUAGUGUAAAACAUUUGGAUUAAACCCUAAAAAUUCAUAAAGUGAAAGUCAUUUGGAUUAAACCCUAUGAAAUUGUAAAGUGAAAAACAUUUGGAUUGAAUAAUAUAAAAUCAAAGUGAAAACUGUUGGAUUAAAGCCCAUAAAAUGAUAAAGUGCAAAAGGAUUAAACCCUUGAGAAAGUGACAAAACGAAAUCCCCUACAACUGACAAGACUCCAUAGGACCGUUUAAAUAACAGAUGCCAUUCCUGUGCAUGACACAUUCCAAGCAAGAUACUGACCGUCCAGAAAGAAUGGACGUACACCAUUGUGCAAGAAGAGAUAGUGGAAUAAAGCAGUCUCAUUUCUUCUUUGUAAAAUAGACCAGAAAACAGCAAAAUUAUUCGUGUGAACCAUAUAAAGAAAAUUCUCUUUCAUAAAAUCUAAAAAUUUUCUACAUAUA
Macrobrachium nipponense is the source of this 1886-nucleotide long non-coding RNA. RefSeq lists it as uncharacterized. The record is from RefSeq and is a predicted model, not a curated record. The transcript is spliced from 5 exons. Lineage: Eukaryota; Metazoa; Arthropoda; Malacostraca; Decapoda; Palaemonidae.